This 240-nucleotide unclassified non-coding RNA is filed under the name uncultured fungus. RNAcentral's name for it is "partial contains 5.8S ribosomal RNA, internal transcribed spacer 2, and large subunit ribosomal RNA". The stretch from base 1 to 52 matches the Rfam family "5.8S ribosomal RNA", at positions 103 to 154 of the family's 154-position model. Lineage: Eukaryota; Fungi. The record is from RNAcentral. RNAcentral also lists the same sequence under 1 other name.
AACGCACAUUGCGCCCCGUGGUAUUCCGCGGGGCAUGCCUGUUCGAGCGUCAUUUAAACCAAUCCAGCUUGCUGGGUCUUGGGCCUCGCCUCUGGGCGGGCCUUAAAGUCAGUGGCGGCGCCACCCGGCUCUAAGCGUAGUAAUUCUUCUCGCUACAGAGCCCCGGGCGGAGGCUUGCCAGGCAACCCCUAAUUUUCAAAGGUUGACCUCGGAUCAGGUAGGGAUACCCGCUGAACUUAA